This 253-nucleotide ribosomal RNA is filed under the name uncultured bacterium. RNAcentral's name for it is "partial 16S ribosomal RNA". It matches the Rfam family "Bacterial small subunit ribosomal RNA", at positions 524 to 776 of the family's 1533-position model. The record is from RNAcentral.
UACGUAGGGGGCAAACGUUAUCCGGAUUUACUGGGUGUAAAGGGAGCGUAGGCGGCCAUGUAAGUCAGAAGUGAAAGCCCGGGGCUCAACCCCGGGACUGCUUUUGAGACUGUGUGGCUGGAGUGUCGGAGGGGUAAGUGGAAUUCCUAGUGUAGCGGUGAAAUGCGUAGAUAUUAGGAGGAACACCAGUGGCGAAGGCGGCUUACUGGACGAUCACUGACGCUGAGGCUCGAAAGCGUGGGGAGCAAACAGG